This 15986-nucleotide long non-coding RNA is filed under the name Phaseolus vulgaris (common bean). Its description in RNAcentral is "long non-coding RNA (PVUL_LNC003734)". The record is from RNAcentral. Lineage: Eukaryota; Viridiplantae; Streptophyta; Magnoliopsida; Fabales; Fabaceae.
UUCAAUUGAAAAGGAAUCGAUUAGAAAUUGAAAUCAAAGCAGAAGUGGCGAUCUAUGACUUCAAUACAAGACACGCUGAAACGUUAAGUUACUGUACAAAUACAAACACAAACACACUAUCUACAGCUUCAAUAGGAAUUGAUUAGAAUUCCACACCGAUUCAUACCUCCAAAGAGAAGAAUGCACUCCAUUGAUUGAAUCGAAGAGAGAGUAUAAGAGACAAUCCUCACACUUACUGCAACAAAUAUCUCAGAGAAAGAAACAAGUGCUGAUCCAUGACUUCAAUAGAAGAGAAUCUGAAACGUUAAGUUUCUGCAGAAACAUAAACACAAACACAUGAUCUACAGCUUCAAUUGAAAAGGAAUCGAUCAAAAUUAAGUUAACUUGACACUGAUUCAUACCUCCACAGAGAUGAAAGCACUCCAUUGCAUAAAAGUUAAAAAUGAAAGCACAGUUGUUCCAGUACAAGAGACGGUGAAACGUUAAGUUUCUGCAGAAACAUAAACACAAACACAUGAUCUACAACUUCAAUUGAAAAGGAAUCGAUUAGAAUUUGAAAUGAAAGCAAAAGUUAAGUUCACAGUGAUUCAUACCUUCACAGAGAUGAAAGCACUCCAUUGCAUAAGAGUUAAGAAUGAACGAACAGUUUUGAAGAUUAUCGCAACAACACCUUAAUUAAUAACACAGUGACUAUUGGUCUUCUUCUUAUUCAUAUUAAAUACCGUAGUCUUCCUCUUCUCUAUAAAUUAUUAUUAUUAUUAUUAACAUACGUAUUGUAAUUUGAAAUUUGGUAUAUAAGAACAAUUUAGCUGUAGUAGGUAAAGUCUUUAAAAAAAAAACUUGUUUAACCUAUCAGUUGUACAACCCUAAUUAAUAAUGUGAAAACAGAUACAUCAGACAUAAUCCACUGUUCAUCUCUUUGAAUUAUUAUUAAAUGCAAUGAUUAUGAAUUUUAAGAAAAAUAUCAAACAAAUUAAGAUGAAAAUUAAAUGUGACACAUAAAAUAUAUAUAUAUAUAUAUAUAUAUAUAUGUGGAUGUAAAAUAAUUGUAAUAACAUUAAUAUAUAUAUAAUAUUUUUAUUCACUCCUAUUUUAAAUUUAUCUUAAUUUUAUUUUAUAUGAAAUUGAUGCAAAUUAAUUGAAUAUUAGUGAUUUGAUUUUAGUUUUUUGUUGUAAAAUAAUAUUAGAAAAAUAAAUUAUAUUAAUUUAAAAGUAUACAAUUUUAUUAAAAAAAAAAAUCCGUGUAAUUUUAUAGAAUGUUAUUAAUAAAAUAAAUGUAAAUAUUAUUUAUAAUUUUAUAAAUUAAUUACUUCAUAAUUAAUCAUCUUUCAAUUUUAAAUCAUACCCAAUUUUAUUAAAAUUAAAUUAAGAGAUUUUUUUUUAAAAUUUAUUAUAUGAUUUAAUUAAUUUAAUUUUUUUAUCACAUUAAUUAAAUCUACUGUAAAUUUUUAAUAUUAUUUUUCCUUUAAUCUAAACAACUUCAUUUUCUUUCUUUUCUUUAAUGAAAAAACUUAAAUUUAAUUAAACUUAAACAAAUUACUAUAAUUAUUUUAAAUGAAUUUUACUUUUAUUGUGUUUACUUAACAUUUGAUAGAAAUUAAAAAUUAGUACGAAUGUUUCAACAAAAUUUAAAUUCAUCCUAAAAUUUAAUGUAAAAAUGAAAAGUGGAAAAUGUAUUAAAAAGUUAAACUGUUGCUUUCGAGGAAAAUUGAAUCUAGUAUUCAAUGUAAUAAAAAAAAAUAGAAAUGGUGGAUUCUUGUUUCUUAGAUUGACCGUUUAAAAAAAAUCAAAUGUUAUAUACCUAAUAUAUAAACUUUAUUACAAAAAUAAAUACAAUUGUUUUAUAAAAUAGUAAUAAAUAUAACUUAUAAUAAAUAUUUAUCUAGUCUGUUUUUAAAAUUAUCUAUGAAUAUAUAUAGUAUAUUUAUAUAUCGUUUUUAUGAAUAUAUGAGUUUUGGUUUAAUUCUCAUAUUUUAUAUUUUUUUAAUAAUAUUGUAUUCAUGUUGAUUACAAGUAAUUGUUGUUAUUUAAAAUGUUUGUCUGAUUGAGAUGUCAAGUUACUUAAUAAUGUUCGACAUAAAAAUCAUUCUGAUUAAUAUCAAAAUAUUAGCAACGUAAUAAAUGAGGAAUACUUUUUGCCAUUAAUCUUAUGUAGUUCAAUCAAUGUAUUUGUAAAGUAGAUGAGAUUUGCAACUAUUGUGGCUCUGAACACUUCCUAAUUAUUGAUGUAGAAGAGGUUCAAUUGUGUAUAUUAAUCAAUUAUUACCAUGAAAGUUUCUACCUUAAUUUUAUAGCAAAAAAGUCUCAUCAUUUUAAUAUAAGCUAAUAUGGUCCAAACAAAAUACUUUUAUUUUUCUUUUUUGGCGUGCUUCUAAGCAAGUGGUUACCAAUUUCUUUAAUUUUAAACAAAAUGCCAACACUUCAUCAAUUUGCAUUAGUUAAAUGCAACAUGAAGCGACCAAAAAAGCCUGGAAAAUUUCAGUAAACUUAACUAUUGUUUUAAAAAUUUGAGUUGUGUAUUAAAGAGAUAAAUUUGAAUAUAAACACAAAAAAUAUUAAUUUUUAAUAACUUCAGUACAGUGACAUAUGUUGUUAGCUACACCAAGUUUGUUUAACAAUUUUAUUAUGAAAAUCUUUUAUUGUAUAUAUUACUUUCUUCUUUUUUAUUUAAUGUAGGACUUAAAUUUUUUGGAUUCCUAUAAUUUUGUUGGGUUUAUUAUUGUAGAGCAUAAAGAUACUUUUGGUUGCAUAUGGCUAAGACAGUGAAAUGUUGAAUAUAAGUGAUUGCAGCAUUAGAAGAAAGAGGAAUGUCAAAUGGGCCAAUGUAGCACUCAAUGCAACUCCUUUUCUCUCUCAAACAUAAUUUAUCCCUUAAAUGCUUUGAAGUCACACACUACUAGGACUCAAUAUUAUUAUGCAUGGAAUCAUAUCCACAAAGAUAUGGUGAAGUGAUUAAAGCAUACAUAAAAUAAAUAUAAGCUACACUCAUUGAAGGAAGGAACAUAAAAGAAAUGGUUUUUGUAAUUUUGUCUCACCAAGAGCAACCUCUUACACAACAAUAAAUAAGAUAGCAAACAUACAACAAAAUAGAACAAGCAAAAGACUGAAGAAUAUUGUGUAGUUGCAAGUUACAAGUCUUUCUUUUGAGUGAUGAACAAUUUGGUCUUUAAUAACAAUGAACAAUGAAAACCCUCAUGAGGAAUUUCUACCAGUCAUGCGAUUGUACUCAUAUUGACUACAUAGAACUGACCAUUUAUAAGUCACCUCAAAUAAUUUUUGUUGAACUUUUCUUUCAUCUUCCACAAUUUGAGACUGGUCUUUCCUCACAUUUUCAAGCUCCAUUUUGUACCCAAUAGUUUCUGCAAUUCUUUUAUUUUUUUCAUCUUCCAGAGAUGAUAAGGCAUCCUCAGAAACUUUUAUUUCUUCCUUCAACCUAAUGAUUUGUUCCUUCAAAACUACUUCCUUCAGUUGAGCUUCAUCAUAGAAAUUCUUUGCCUCAGAAAUUUUGGAACCAAGAGUAGUGGCCAUCUCAUUCCCACGAGCUUCAAGUUCUGCCAACUUCUCAUUGGUAGCAAAACCUUGCUUAAAGGAGCAUGCAAUGCUUGGGAACUCUUGUUGCAUAAUUUCUAUAAUAUCUUUGAGUCCAUCUGAUAGAGUUACAUCUUUGAAAGGAAGGUUGGACAGGAAAUUAAUAGCAGACAAAAGGCUAAUGCUGUUAGUCUCAGAGCUAACUAUGUCCUUCAAAGACAUCUUUAGAUACUUUUCCAACUCAACAAGGGUCUUUCCAACUAUGUUGUCUUCACUCUCUUUCCCCACAACAACUGGUGCAAAUAAACUCAUGAUAUCAUUGGCCCCAAAGUCUUGAAUAAUUUUAGGAUGGCCUCCACUUUCUUUAACAGUGUGGGUCUCAGUUUGACUGCUCCUAAUUUCACUCUUAGAGGAAUAAGAAGAAAAUAUAAUAGUAAAGACGUUAGCAUCAAGCCACAACAGUUGCACAACAUUGAGUUCCUUAAACCAUUUUUUAUCCAAGCAUAUUUGUUAGAGUGAUGGUAACAAAUUCAUUAAAUUUAAAUUCCAACUUGAAAUUCAGUACUUUUUGUUUUUUAAUUCCACUCCUGCGGCAAAUGAUAAAUCAGAAUGGCAACAUCAUUUUUAUGCUGACCAAAUAUGUUGGAAAUGUUAAUUGCAUAAAAUAAACUUACAUGUGGGUGUGAUUUAGUUUGAGAAGUAAAUAUUUGGUCCAACUGUGAGCUAGUGGAUUCGGAAUGAAUUGAUGAAACUGCCGUACUGGUGUACUUUUUUGUGGUUUUCUCUACAGCUUCUCGCUCAAUACUCUGCAUAAGAAAAAAAGAUAUUUACUAGCAGAGUUGUUAUUAAUGGCAGGUGCACAUGCAUGUUAAUUUAAAAUAAUUGAUGUUAUUUUUGUUUGCCAUUUACAUAAGGAAUUUCGGAGCUACUUACAAUUUCUCCAAGUGACUUUUGUCUGUUCAUCAAGCACAAUUCACUAAUCCGCUGUUUGUCCACCAAUGCCUAAACAAAGUAAUGAACUAGUGUAAAAUCACUAUACUCUUAGCACUUCAAUUUUAUCUAGUAGGAAAAAUAUUUAUUAGGCUCACAUUUGAGGGUGUUUCACGUAGAGGAAUACUCAAAUAAGAUGGAGUUAGCCUUUCAGAUGGUUGUGAGUUUGUUAAUGAUGUUGUUGUUCUUGGUAUUUCUGAAGUAGAAACUUUUGCAACAAAUUCUUUCUCUGGUUCUUCAUUUCUCGCAGCAUUGUGAUCAAUAGAAACAACACCUAUUUCACCUUUUUUACCAACCAAGUCAGAACCUUCUUCGAAGCUAUUGUUAACAUUCUGGGUCUUCACACAUCGAGAAUUUCUUUUACAGUUUUCAUUAGACCCAUCACCUUGUUUAACAACCUGGGUAUCUAGUACCAUAUCCACACUACAAGACCUGUGUAAAAAACUUAAAAUUUUCGCUUUAUGAAUCCCAAGAAAACAUAUAAAUUGAUGGUAUCAAUCUUGUAAGAAUUGCAAAUACCACUAGAAUGUAUAUUUAAAUAGAAAGAGAAAAUUCAACUUCAAAUUCACAAAAAAAUUGAUACAUUUUAUCUGGGCAUUAACAAAGUCAUUUAAGACUCAUAAUUUCAUUCAUUUUUUACAUUACAUAGUCAAAAAGUUAAAUGAUCAUACCUCUUAGGAUUCUCAUCCUUUUGUCUCUCUGCAAUGUCCUCUCUUAGCUUAGGAUCCUUCGUCAAAAUAUGUUGACGCAUUUCAUCUAUCCAUGAACUCUCAAAUCCAAUCUCAACAGCUUCUUCGUAUAGUUUAUGAAACUCUUUUUCUCUUUGAGGAGUAAGAUUAUCAACACUUUCCUUCUGAAGGAACAACAACAUAUCUGCCAAAAUUUUCAACCUCCAAGCUUGAAAGCGCUCACUAAACUUCUCACAAGCAUUCCAAAGAUGAGGAUAUGUUGUUAUCGCCUCCACCAAAAGAGCAAUUUGUGCAUCAUCCAGAUCAACAAAAUGUUUAUAUGUUCCCAAUCUUGUACAGAUAUCUGCAAAAGCUAUAAAAAGUUUGAAAAGUGAUAUGAAAAUAUAGGAUUGAAACUUGAAAAUAAGAAAUAAAAAACCUGAAGAAAUGUCAAUAUUGUUGUUAGAAUUAAUAUGUAUCUCUUUUUGUUUGUCCAAUAGGUUCAACCCUUCUUCUACUUGGAUUUCUUGGCUUGGCAUGAUUCCUGCCUUUCCUUCAUUCAUCUUAUCAUCUUGUUCAACAACCUUGGAAUGUUGUGCAAGUAUGUCCAUGCCACCAGAGUCAAUGUGAGUUGCAACACCACCUCCAAUGCUAAUGUCUUCAACACCAGUUGACAAAGGUUUUGUCUUAUCACCCUUUGCUGAAGGCCCCUCCUUAAUGCUCUCAUUUCCUAUGUUUUCAAUCUCCUUUGUAUCACAAAUUGAAAAAAUUCAAUUGAGUGAGAGUUUAUAAAGUUUGAAAGGACCACUUUUUUAAUGUAAAUCAUGUUAGUUUCAAUAAUUUCUUCCUUAGGUUUGAAUAUGCUUUUGUUUGUCUACCAAAGAUGAUUUUUCACUUCAGGAUUUUUAAAUGGUUUAGGUCGGUCUAUCAAAUAUAUAUGAUUCACUCAUUUAUUGUCCAUCUACUACUCUUAUAAGAAAUGACCAACUAAAUGCUAAAGUAUCUUAAACAUUUUUAACAAAUAUAACGAAGUUAUAAAUGACAAGGUUUUUCUCUUUUAAUUAAUUGAUUAGUCAUGGAGAUUUUUAAUGUUGUCAAACUUUGUCUAGAAUUACAAGACACUAUAAGAAAAUUAUUAAAUAUAAAUUAAUUUUAAAGACUAAAAAUAAUAAGUCAUUAUAUUUGACUAAAUUUGAUUUUAUUUUAGAAAUUUAAAAAAUUAUUAGUAUCCAAAUAGUUUUUAUUAUUAUUAGUAAUUAUAGCUAAUUUAAUAUUAAUUUAAAAAUUGAUUUAUAAGUAUUUAGAAACUAAUUUAGACAUCGAUAAUUUUUUUAUUCUCUAAUAUAAUAUUUAAUUUAAUUAAUAUAAUAACUAAUUAUAUUUUUUUUUAAAGUUUGAUUUCUAUUUAAUAAUUUUCAAUAAUGACACAUAUAUUACUCUCAAACUUUAUUGCAUUCUUUAAGGAAGUUUUAAUUUAAUUUUUAUAAAUUUUAUUAAUAAUAAAAACUAUUUUAAAUACUAAUAAUUUUUUUAAGUUUAUAAAAUAAUAUCUAUCUAAUUUAGUCAAUAUAAUAACUAAUUAUUUUUUUAUUCUAAAAUUAGUGUCUACUUAAUAUUUUUUUUUUAGUAUCUUAUUUUAUUGUUAGCAAAAAUAUAUAUUUUAAGAUAAUUUUUUUUUUUACUUUUAUGAUUCAAGUACUUAUUUAAAAUCUCAAAUCUUAUAUUUUUUCUAUCACGUAAGUUUAAAUUAAAAAAAAAUCCUAAUAAUGAGACAAAAAGGUUAUUAAACUUUUUGUUUAGUUGUAUUUAUAUUCAUAGAUUGGUUGGUUCUGACCUGUGGUGAAGUGAACUCACUGCUACCACUAAUAGUAGAAUCUUCAUCUAAAUAGCUCAUGUACUCCCUUAAGUCCCAGUCUAAAAGUCCAGUGUUUUUUAAAUCUGUAACAAAAAAAUAUAUAUAUUAGGGAAUUCAUGUGACAAUGAAAGACAUACCAAAAAGAAAUGCAACCUUAGCUUUCCAGAUGGAUCAUUAUAUCAUUACAAUUAAAUAUGAAAAAUGAUUUAAAAAGUUUCAUGGAAUUUUUUUAUCACCCAUGAAAAUAAUGUGGUGACUCUGUCUUAGGAAUCGUUUUCUUUAUUUUAUUUUUAUUUUUUAUUUUUUUAUCAACAUAUCAUUUUCUUUGUAACAUUUCUUCCUAUAAUUAAAAUUACUAGAGCUUAAAAUUAAAAAAAUUGAAGCAAAUAAUAAUUUAAUGUGUUUAUUAGUGAAUACUAGAUUGGAAAUUUGAAACAGUAUUCUCUCUUAAUGAAAUAGUUAAUUUAUAAAUAUAUUUUCUUUAGGUGAAAUUGAGGGACGAUUUGUCUCAAACCAUGCCAAUAUCAUAUGAAAAUAUUAUUCUAUAAACUACUAACAUGUAACAAUUUAUAUUUGAAGACUCUAUAGUAUUUAUCUUUAUAAGGAAAAGUUUCCUUCAGCUCUCCAAAAGUAGUUGUUGGAGUCAAAGAGAGUUUUGGACUUUCGUAGACAACACAAAUUUUUAAACUCGGCAAUUCAAUCUCUUGAUCAAAGUUUGACAUAUGCAUAAAUAUUAAAAGUUUCACUCUUGGAAGCUCAACUUUUUUCUUUUCUAUCCUGUCACCUUUUUCUUGUCCACAUCCAACAAGUUCUUCUAGUUUAGAGGCUCCAUUUAUGAUCAAAAGAUAAAGAUUGGGAAAGUCAUUAGAUGCAGAUCCAGAGAUAAAUCUUUUCAGCUUAUGGCAAUGUCCAACAUACAAUUCUUUUAGUUUUGGGAAGCAUGGCUGAGGAGAAAGAAGAUUAGACAUUUUUUUGUCUUCCAAAUCCUCUUCAAUGAUUUCUCUUAAUUCUUUGCAUUUUCUUAUUUUCACACUUUUUAACUCUGGUAGGCAUCUUAAAACAUACUUUGGAAAUAUUACUUCCAAUUUUGCACAUCCAAUUAUUUCUAAUCUUCGAAGAUUUGGGAGGGUAAAAGAAUUGUUUGGAGCUCCUUGUUCACAUCCAACAAUCUGCUUCAAUUCCAUGCAUUCUUUUAUGAUUAGGAUUUUCAACUUUUGUAAACUUCUUAAAACAGAGGGAGGAAAUAUUUCUUUCAAUUUUGCACAUCCCAAUAUUUCUAAUAUGGUAAGAUGUUGGAGAUUAAUUGAAAUCUUGGAAGCCACCCAAAUAUAAGUCAUUUGAGGUAGAUUUUCCAAAAGCAAAUACUCUAACCUUAAACUCACUUGUUGCCCAACCAUUCCAUGUCCAUUAAGACAAAAAAUAUCUUCUACUUCACAAUUCCUUAUGGAUAGAUCUUGCAAACUGAAGAAAUGGCUUUGAAACCGUUUUAGAUCCUGCAGGACAUUAAUAAGAAAUAUAAAAAAAUCAAAAUAGAAAACAAAAAGGAGCACAUAACUAAUAAUUAUAAAAAUAAAAACAAGACUACUUACGCUAAUAGGCUCUCUUGAAUUGGUAGGAACAGUCAAACAACUAACGGGAUUGUAAAAAGGAUAGGAAAAUCUGUCACAAGAAAACUUCUUCAAAGAUGGCCAUGUCACAGUGAGAGUGUUGGUAGCACAAAUGCUAACAAAAUUUGGUAGAUUGUAAAGAGAGAUUUUUUCCAAUGCGGAAAAAUGAAUAUGAAUCUCAUCACAAUCCUGAUUAGCUACGGGAUAUUGGCCAAGCAUAUAUUUCAGUUGGUCACAGUCACGCACUGAAAGCUUUCUUAAGUUUGGAAAGAUAGCAUUCAAAUUCUCUUUGCCAUAUUCAUCUUCAAUGUCUAUAAUGUGCUCAAGUCCAUGACAUUUCUCAAUUCUCAAGAUUUCCAACAUCAAUGAUGAAACUAUAGACGGCUUAAAAAGAUAUUUUACCUUAUCAAAGCCUUUCAGUUCAAUCUCUCUUAUAUUAUGCAUAAUAAGCAAGUUCAAACCCUGAGGUUGUUUUGAAAUAUAUUCAACACUUUCAAGUGGGGGAACAAAAUCCGAGUUUGAUAUCUGCAAUAUAUACACCAAGUUACUUCUUAAACCAAACUAAUUAGUAUCUUAACUCUAAUUAUGAAUGCAUUUCAUUUCUAAUAUUCUUCGUGUAAAUUAAAAUUUUAAGAUAUACCACUCAUUGUUUAGAUUCACUUGUUUGUUUAUGAAAAUAAGUGCUUUUUGUUUAGCCCAACGAGACAAAGUUAAAAAGAGAAUAAUUUCACCAAAGUAAUUUACUCAAAAUAAUCUUUCCAAAUACUUAGAUAUUAAAAAUUCAUGUUGCACAUUUGGUAUGAAUUCAGUCACCAAUAAGUUGUAGUGCUUGUAAGACCAUUUUUUAUUUUUAGCACAAAUAUUUAAAUUCAAAUCUUUAGAGUAAUUUUUGAAAUACACGAAAAGAGAUGUGAAGUAAGUGAUAAAUAAUCAUACAAGAGAUGCAAAGUAAGUGAUAAAUAAUCAUACCUUGAUUGAAAUAUAAUCCCCAUGUCUAGCUUUUGAAGCAUCCGUUGAACAAUUUAUCAUGAAAAACCCAAUAUAUAUCCCAAUACCCAAUGAUAAUGUUCUCAAAGAUGGACAUCUUAUAGGAUAGCUAUCUAGAAUGGUGCUAUCCAGGGUACGAUCAAGUUUGAGUACUUCUAAAGCAGGAAGUUCAAAUAGAGUAUUCUUUUGUUUUUGGUGACAAGAAUUGUCUUUGAAUUUAUUUUGACUUGAAAAAUCUUUCAAAUCAACAAUCUCUUCAUCUCUUAUAUCAUUCAAUUUCAUCAUGCCUCCAACAAAAGAGAUAGGGAAUAUACGUUGCAAUAAGUCACAUCCACUGAUAUGUAGCACUUUCAAACCCUGGAAGAUUGAAAUAUCACUAUGAAAGUCAUGGUCAUCCUCGCCAAUAUUUUCCUUAUGAUUUUGAUUGACCCUUUCAUGAGUUACUAUAAGCUUCAAGCUAAGGCAAUUUUGAAUGAACAAUUCUUCCAAAGAAGUCAAGGUCUUAGCUGUAGAUGCUGUAAAAAUUGAGCCUAACUUCGGACAACAAAAUAUUUUAAGGCUUGUAAGGCUUGAUAGAGUUCCUGAAAAACAAUUAUAAAUAAUAAAAAUAUCGCUAAACAUAAUAGAGUUGAUUAUAUAUAUGCUAUGUGUGCAAGUUACACAUUUUGAUUUUUAAAACAUUGGUUUAUAGGGACUAAAACCAACAUCCUAAGCAUCAAAUGAUCAAUUAAUAAUGAUGAAAAGAAUCAUACAAAACAAUUUUCUUUAAAUAAUUCUAAAUUAUACACAAAAUUUAAAAUGCAAAUAUGGCUGUCUUUAAUUUUGACUGAGACAAAUUUUGUCGGUAGUGUAUUAUCAAAUUGUUAGUUCAAGUAAAACUAGAUUAGUAAUGUCUCAAGUUUGAACCUUACGAAUGGAAAAUAAUGAUCGGGACAAAAUAAUAUACAAUUAAUAUACUUAAAUUUUUCAUAUAAAAUAGUAGAUUCACAAUUUUUGUGUAACUUGUAAAUAACUUCAACUAAGCAGCAACAUGUAGACUUACUAAUACAUGCUUAAACAUACUUAGAAAUGCAAAAAGAAAAAAUGUACCUGAGCUAUGGUUUACAACUGCUGUUGAUGGAAUUGAAGUGCUAUACAAAUGUGAAUGCUUACCUUCCUCAAUGAUUUCAUCAAGUUCUUCUUUAUUAUCUUGGUCUGUUGAUGGAGCAAUAUCCCCAAUUAUUUGAUCUAGCAUGUCACAGUUUUCUAUCUUGAGCAUUUUCAAUUGAGUUAAGCCCUUUACAAUGUUGGUCGAGAAUAUAUGUUUUAAUUCUCUACAACUAUGUAUCUCUACUUUUUGAAGAUUUUGGAAGAUUUGUACAGGAUGUCUAGUGGUGAAUUCACCUUGACUUUUCUUCGUUUUGUCAUCAUCUCCUAAUAUAUGCUUCAGUUCAUCACAUGUUGAAAUUUUUAGUACUUUCAAUUGUACCAAACUUCGAGCAACGACAUACGUGAAAAGAGAUGUCAACUUUGGACAAUCACUAAAAUACAACUUCUCUAAGUUCUCAAAAGGUCCACUUAUAGGUUGAGAAAAAUGCCAUAAAGCUCUUAGAUUUUUCAAGUUAACCAUUCUGAGCUUAUACAACUUGGAGAAGGGAGAUACCACUGUACUCAAAUGGUUACUAGUGUCAAUCAAACACUCUAUCUCUUCAGAAUUACAUAUCUCAAACUUACUCAACUCGUCCAAACCUCCUCCUUCAAUUUGAAAUAUAUCAGGGAUGAUAUUUUUUGCGCCUCUCUGAAUAUUUGCUACAAAGAGAUAUGUUGCUUUUUUUGCCAAACCCUUAAUUACCUCAUUUGAUUUGUCAAAAUGGUUAAGUAAUAGAGUUCUGGGAGGAGGGUGAAAAUAAUUAUAAUUAUAAUCACCAAAGUUAUUGGAUCCUAAUACAAUUGCAUACCUUUGCAGUGUUUUGGGGACACUAAACGUGUUAAAGAAUUCAAUAUUGUCUUCACUAUUAGAAUCCCAUUCUCCUUCAAUAUCGACAAUGUACAACUCUUCCAGUAGUGGGAUUCUUUUGAUCACUUCGAAAUUCUUCCCUUUCAUUUCACAUUUGUACAAUUGUAACAAUUUUAAGGUUGUUACUUGUGUAAUUGCAACAUCGGUUUGUAAUUCAGGAAAUGAAGGCAAUGAACAACCAUUCAUCGAAAGACUUUGAAGUUUCUUCAUAUGGCUUACAAAUGAGAAGUCGCUCAAUUCAUAACCAGAAAUACCUAGAUAACGAAGAUUUGUUAAUGUUUUUAAACACAUUGUUGACAAUGGUGUUAUUCCAUCCUUAUCAUUGACUAGAAUCAAAACUUUGAGCAUUCUCAUUCUUUUGAAAAUUCCAUUAAAUUCUUCCAAUUUUGUCUUUAAAAAUAAAAACUCAAGAUUGGAACAAUCUAAAUCAAUUGGAAAUUUCACACACCAUAGAUAUCUUACUGAAUUUUGUUCAAUAGUCACAUCUUUUUCCUCUUCGCACUUGAUUAUCUUAUUCUCCUUCUUGGCUAUCAAGUGGGCCACAUCGCGAACUAUGUCAUGCAUUUUGACAUAUUCAUCCUCUUCAUCCAACAAUAAACAAGAACUGACGAGCUUAAUUUUGGCUGCAACCACUUCACUCCUUGCCUCCUCAUAAGAGUGUGCUUCUCCAACUACACCUAAUCCUAUAGCAUAUCUUGUUAAAACUUCAAUUGGAAUUUCACUAUCUUCAGGGAACACAGAACAAAAUAGGAAAAGUGAUUUGGCUUCUUUAGUAUCCAAAUUAUCAUAGCUCAGCUGCAAGCACUUGUAGGGAUCAAUCAAACCUCUUUCAAUAUUUAUUGGCUUAGAACUUCUCAACUUAUUCAAUGCAACAUUCCAUAUCGUCUCAACUUUUCCCUUCAAACUACUAGCAACAGCUGCAAUGGCAACAGGCAAUCCUUUACAUUCAUUGGAAAUUAAUCUUCCCAGAUUCUUUAAGGUAUCAGGGGUGUUUUUAGAUAUAAGUGCUUUAUUUUGGAAAAGAGUCCACGCUUCUUCAUCCGUUAAAAUUGGCAGGUAAAUCUUUCUUUGGCAAUCCAUUGAAGUACAAACUUCUUCUGAUCUAGUGGUAAUGAGAAUCUUGCAGACUGUAUGAUGUUCAGAGGAGGGAAUCCCAAUGCCACCAAAGUCAAGCUUCUCCCACACAUCAUCUAAAAUCAUAAGAAUGUUUUUCUCUUGGUUUAAUCUCAAGCACAAUCGUUGGGCCCUCUCCAUUACUUCAGUUUCUGGAAAUGUAUACUGCAGUGAACUUGCAAUUUUUUCUUGGAUCCUUCGAACUUCCACUGUACUAGAAAUAGGCACAAAAAGAACUUUUUCAAAACAAUGUUCUGCUUCUACUAACUUCAUAACCUCCAUUGCUAAUGUGGUUUUACCACACCCCCCCAUCCCAUACAAUCCAAUCAUGGCAACAUCAUUAUUUUUCACUGCUUCGAGCAGCUUCUCAUAUGUAGAUUGUCUACUCUCAAAAUUCAUGCAUUUUUCUGUGAGAAUAUGAAGGGUGCCUGAAGGAAGUGUAGCAAUGCGGUCAAAUGGCACAUAUUUUCUACCCUCUGCAAUGAACUUUUCAAGGUACACAUUUUUAUAUGCUAACUUUUUUCCUACACGAUAUUGCCAAAUCCAAUUUGGACAGUACCCAAAGCAACAGAAUUUUUUGGCUUUUGCCUCUUUCAACAACUGAUUCACAUUGUCUACGUCAUUAAUAGCAUCUUGCAACCACUUGUCAACAACUUCACUAGUCUUUCUUGUUUGUUUCUUGGCAUUUGUAACAAAUUUUUGGACACUGUCUUUCGUUACAAUCAAAUCGCGCUCUUCUUCUUCAAGUUUUUUUACGAAAUUGUUAAAAUCACAAGGAUAACGUAAUUGAUUUAAUGCGCCACAUACUAAAUCUCUUGAAACAGAAGAUGCAAAACCCAAGAGGCACUCCAUUAAUUUGUUCCACCAAAUGCACCUUUCUUUUAGCUGAACAAGAGAAGAUGAAUACUCUAUAGUGAGUUUUAUCAGUAUAUUUAGAUGUAUUAGAUAACAAAAAAAUUUAAGAUCAUUUGUUGCAUUACAUAUUGCAGUAUGGCACUUUUAUAGUAAAAUUACAUAAAAAAAAUUAUGAUGUUAUGUUUAGUAAUUAGAUUUAAUGUUUUAUAUCUUAAAUAAUGAAUUAUUGGACACACAAUAGAAAUAAAAAUAAAUCUAAUACUUUAAUGAUUAUUUUUAAAAGUUUAUGUGUGAUAAGAUUUUUUAAAUGUCCUUUUAAUGACUAAGAAAAUUUUAUCAAACAUAUUUAUUUUUAAAUAAUUUUUUUUAAUAAAUUCUUAUCCUCCAUCCAAAAAAAAUUAUAUUUAAACAUGUGCUUAAAUGACACCCAAGUAGAUCAAAAGAUUUGUUAAGUAGGAAAAAAAAAGUGAACGAGUAAAAAAUGUAUUUAACCAAAGCUUAAAAUAUGCAUUAUAUAUAAAGUUAAUAUUAUAUAUAUUUUGUAAGUUUAAUUUUAUUUAAAUUUAUACAAGCUCUUAGAUUAUAGCACUUUUUAUAAAAUUUGCAAAUAGUAGAAGAACAAAUGUUGGUAAUUCCUAAAAAAUUGUAAAUAUUCAAUAAAAUAAAAUAAAAUAAUCUAAAAGGGUACUUGAAAUUUAAUUAAGUCUAAAAUAAAUAAUUUUUUUUAGCUAAUUGCAUAUACUCAAUUACAUUGAGAUGAGUUAGACUUGGUACUUUAUGAGCUCUUCUCAAUUUAAACCAAGACUCGAGUGCUUUUAAAAUUCUACACAAACUUCUAUUGUUUUGAAAACGUUACAUUAUCACUGUUUCUUACAUCACACAUGCAAUUUCAUUAAAAACAGUUAAUAUAGGUAUAAUUCAAUUUCAUUAAAAACAGUUAAUAUAAGUAUAAUUUUUUAGAAUAUUAAAGAGUAUGAUUGUAUUUUACUCACCCAUUCAUUAUUCAUGAUUGGAUGUGAUUUUUAAUAAAUUUUUCCGAUGUAAAAAGUGCUUAUCUUAUACGUAUGUGGUCCGUAAUUGAUAAUGAAAUAUGAAAUAUAGAUUAUCAAUGUUUCUGCUCCGCAUUUUUAGUAAAUAUCAUUUUUAAAAGGGAAGAGAUAUAAAAAUAGGGUAUUAUAGUAGUUAAAAAUUAAUAUAAUAAAACUAAAAGUUGUAUUGUUUUAUGGAAACAUAUAUUAAUAUAUAAAAGAAUAGUUAUAAAAUUUAAAAGAUAUUACUAAAUACAUAUAUUUAUAUAUUUACCAAAUAAAUAAGAACAAAAAUACUUUCAAAAAUAGUGUAAGAAAAAGUAUCCGUCUUAUAUAUUAUCAAUGGAAAUAUAGAGACGGAUUAAUAUUAUUUUUUAUUACGAUAAAAAGAAAUAACUUUCUAAAAAUAAUUUAAAAUAUAUAUGAUAAUUAUUUUUAAGCAAAAGUAUCAUAUAAUUAUUUUUAGUAGAGAAACUAUGUACUUAUUAUUUACUAAAUAAAAUUAUAUUUAAUUUAUUAAAAGAUAAAUUAUCUAAUUAAAAAAUGACAAAAAAAAUAGUUAUAAAAAAUAUGUUCUGAUACAAAUUAUUAAUAAUAUUAAAUUAAUCAACCUUAAUAAUAAAAAAAGUGAUAAUAAAUAAAUAAUGACAAAAAAAUAAUAUUAAUAAUAUAAUAAAGAAUAAUAACAAUAAAAAAUUUACUUCUUUCUCUGUCCAUUUUGUUUCUCCAAAUCAACCUUUCUAGUUGUUUAUAUUCCCAGUUUUCACAGAUCUCAUAGUAUUUCUAAUACGAAUUAUUUUUUCAAAUCUCACAUAAAAAAACAGAUUAUAGUGUGUUUUCAUCCAUAAGAAGAAACAGAUCUAGUAGCCUGAGACUAAUUUGGAAGUGGAAAAAGAGGAAAGAUAGGUAAGGUUUGUACGUUACCUGCUUUCUUUAACUACGAUGUAGAGAGAGAUGAGAAAAAGAAGUGGUGAUCCAUGACUUCAGUACAAGAGACACUGAAACGUUAAGUUACUGCACAAACAUAAACACAAACACGUGAUCUACAGCUUCAAUUGAAAACGAAUCUAUUAGAAUUUGAAAACAAAGCAAAAGUUAACUUCACACUGAUUCAUACCUCCACAGAGAUGAAAGUACUCCAUUGCUUGAAUCGAUGAGAGAGUAAAAGAGACGCUGAAACAUUAAGUUACUGCACAAGCAUAAACACAAACACAUGAUCUACAACUUCAAUUGAAAAGGAAUCGAUUAGAAUUAAGUUAACUUCACAGUGAUUCAUACCUCCACAGAGAUUAAGAAUGAACGCACAGUUAUUCCAGCACAAGAGACGGUGAAAGGUUAAGUUACUGCAGAAACAUAAAC